GCCUGGCUGGCUCAGUUGGUGGAGCAUGCAACUCUUGAUUUUGGGGUUGUGGGUUCAAACCCCAUGCUGGGUA
Molecule: transfer RNA, 73 nt
Filed under: Mustela putorius furo (domestic ferret)
Lineage: Eukaryota; Metazoa; Chordata; Mammalia; Carnivora; Mustelidae
Rfam family: tRNA
About the family: Transfer RNA (tRNA) molecules are approximately 80 nucleotides in length.
Source: Rfam by way of RNAcentral